GCUCAGGAUGAACGCUGGCGGCGUGCCUAAUACAUGCAAGUCGAACGAGUUCUGAUUAUUGAAAGGUGCUUGCAUCUUGAUUUUAAUUUUGAACGAGUGGCGGACGGGUGAGUAACACGUGGGUAACCUGCCCUUAAGUGGGGGAUAACAUUUGGAAACAGAUGCUAAUACCGCAUAAAUCCAAGAACCGCAUGGUUCUUGGCUGAAAGAUGGCGUAAGCUAUCGCUUUUGGAUGGACCCGCGGCGUAUUAGCUAGUUGGUGAGGUAACGGCUCACCAAGGCAAUGAUACGUAGCCGAACUGAGAGGUUGAUCGGCCACAUUGGGACUGAGACACGGCCCAAACUCCUACGGGAGGCAGCAGUAGGGAAUCUUCCACAAUGGACGCAAGUCUGAUGGAGCAACGCCGCGUGAGUGAAGAAGGCUUUCGGGUCGUAAAACUCUGUUGUUGGAGAAGAAUGGUCGGCAGAGUAACUGUUGUCGGCGUGACGGUAUCCAACCAGAAAGCCACGGCUAACUACGUGCCAGCAGCCGCGGUAAUACGUAGGUGGCAAGCGUUAUCCGGAUUUAUUGGGCGUAAAGCGAGCGCAGGCGGUUUUUUAAGUCUGAUGUGAAAGCCCUCGGCUUAACCGAGGAAGUGCAUCGGAAACUGGGAAACUUGAGUGCAGAAGAGGACAGUGGAACUCCAUGUGUAGCGGUGAAAUGCGUAGAUAUAUGGAAGAACACCAGUGGCGAAGGCGGCUGUCUGGUCUGUAACUGACGCUGAGGCUCGAAAGCAUGGGUAGCGAACAGGAUUAGAUACCCUGGUAGUCCAUGCCGUAAACGAUGAAUGCUAGGUGUUGGAGGGUUUCCGCCCUUCAGUGCCGCAGCUAACGCAUUAAGCAUUCCGCCUGGGGAGUACGACCGCAAGGUUGAAACUCAAAGGAAUUGACGGGGGCCCGCACAAGCGGUGGAGCAUGUGGUUUAAUUCGAAGCAACGCGAAGAACCUUACCAGGUCUUGACAUCUUUUGAUCACCUGAGAGAUCAGGUUUCCCCUUCGGGGGCAAAAUGACAGGUGGUGCAUGGUUGUCGUCAGCUCGUGUCGUGAGAUGUUGGGUUAAGUCCCGCAACGAGCGCAACCCUUAUGACUAGUUGCCAGCAUUUAGUUGGGCACUCUAGUAAGACUGCCGGUGACAAACCGGAGGAAGGUGGGGAUGACGUCAAAUCAUCAUGCCCCUUAUGACCUGGGCUACACACGUGCUACAAUGGAUGGUACAACGAGUUGCGAGACCGCGAGGUCAAGCUAAUCUCUUAAAGCCAUUCUCAGUUCGGACUGUAGGCUGCAACUCGCCUACACGAAGUCGGAAUCGCUAGUAAUCGCGGAUCAGCACGCCGCGGUGAAUACGUUCCCGGGCCUUGUACACACCGCCCGUCACACCAUGAGAGUUUGUAACACCCGAAGCCGGUGGCGUAACCCUUUUAGGGAGCGAGCCGUCUAAGGUGGGACAAAUGA
This 1491-nucleotide ribosomal RNA is filed under the name uncultured organism. Its description in RNAcentral is "SSU rRNA". It matches the Rfam family "Bacterial small subunit ribosomal RNA". The record is from RNAcentral.